RNAcentral lists this ribosomal RNA (449 nucleotides) under uncultured bacterium. RNAcentral describes it as "partial 16S ribosomal RNA". It matches the Rfam family "Bacterial small subunit ribosomal RNA", at positions 29 to 523 of the family's 1533-position model. The record is from RNAcentral.
AGCGAACGCUGGCGGCAGGCUUAACACAUGCAAGUCGAACGAAGCCUUCGGGCUUAGUGGCGGACGGGUGAGUAACACGUGGGAACGUACCUUUUGGUUCGGAACAACACAGGGAAACUUGUGCUAAUACCGAAUGAGCCCUUAGGGGGAAAGAUUUAUCGCCAUUAGAGCGGCCCGCGUUGGAUUAGCUAGUUGGUGGGGUAAAGGCCCACCAAGGCUACGAUCCAUAGCUGGUCUGAGAGGAUGAUCAGCCACACUGGGACUGAGACACGGCCCAGACUCCUACGGGAGGCAGCAGUGGGGAAUCUUGCGCAAUGGGCGAAAGCCUGACGCAGCCAUGCCGCGUGAAUGAUGAAGGUCUUAGGAUUGUAAAAUUCUUUUACCAGGGACGAUAAUGACGGUACCUGGAGAAAAAGCUCCGGCUAACUUCGUGCCAGCCGCCGCAGUAA